AAAAAAAAAUGAAAAAAACUGCUGAACGAAUAAUUAUUCAGUUGGUGUUGGUGGAUUGAGAAAUUGAAAUUCCCACGACUUAGAGAAACCACAAUUAUUGGUCCCCAUGCAAAAUACUGUUAAAAUAACCCAACUUUUCCAUUAUGUGCUCCAGCAUUUCAUGCGUAAACUGACUACUGGCUGGAGCAAUCAAGUCAUAACGUAACCGCAAAAUAACAACUUCCGCACAAAUAUUUUCUGUAUUAAUUACUGAGCCUCUUCUUCAUAAUAUUGCGACAUAUUUUAGACAUAAAUAAAAGUGUCAUCGUCCUUUACAUGCAUCGCCAAGCACAUGAAGGUCCACAGAUCACAAGCACCGGCGACAGCAUGAAGAGCAGCAGACAAAAGUAUCCUCAAAACUACUUAACACUGUGACAAUUUUUAACCCUCUCCCCUUCUUUUCCACUUAAACUCGAUAUUUCAAUAACAACGAAAAUGAGUGAAGACAACAGAAAUUUAUUGCAUAUUGCUGAAAGCAUUUCCAUAUUGAAAAAUAAUAAUAAAUGCUGAAAAAGGCAGAGAAAAGAGAAGAAGAUUGCAAAAGAAAUAAUCACAAGUGCAUGGAGAUGCAAUUCAUACACAAUAGGGUCGGCCUGGCGACCGCUGGUCAGUGAGCAGUCCAAAUACAUUUCAUUAUUGUGGGUGCCAUUGUUUGUUGCUGCUGUUGUUGACAUUGCUGUUGACAUUGGACACUUUGUUUAAUUUGCAAGCAAAAACAAAUAUGUCGCUUUGAGUAGUGUGUAAAAGUGCAUGAAAAGAGAAAUGAAGUAAAAAUUCUGAAAAAUCAACUGCGAAUUGCAACAGUAAAGUGCAUUUGCUGCCCACCAGCUUGGGUUCCUUGGAAUUGAAGUGCUGCUGCUACUGCUGUUUUAAGUUUUCGAUGUUGCUCUUAUUGCCUGCGUGUUGUUGUUGUUUUUGGUGUUUUCGGCACUACACUUCAUUGCCAUAUGGAAAAGUGCAUUUUUAUGUCGCAUUCUGCCAAGUGUUAUUAACAUUUGUUUGCAAGGGAAAAAAUUAAAAAAAACAUCAUAAGAGCCUAGCAUAAAUGAAUUGCGAAAAAAAAACAAAAAA
Ceratitis capitata (Mediterranean fruit fly) is the source of this 1110-nucleotide long non-coding RNA. RefSeq lists it as uncharacterized. The record is from RefSeq and is a predicted model, not a curated record. Lineage: Eukaryota; Metazoa; Arthropoda; Insecta; Diptera; Tephritidae. The transcript is spliced from 4 exons.